Molecule: transfer RNA, 85 nt
Filed under: Felis catus (domestic cat)
Lineage: Eukaryota; Metazoa; Chordata; Mammalia; Carnivora; Felidae
Rfam family: tRNA
About the family: Transfer RNA (tRNA) molecules are approximately 80 nucleotides in length. Their secondary structure includes four short double-helical elements and three loops (D, anti-codon, and T loops).
Source: Rfam by way of RNAcentral
ACCUGGGUGGCUCAGUCGGUAAAGUGUCUGACUUCGGCUCAGGUCAUGAUCUCGCAGUUUGUGGGUUCGAGCCCAGCAUCAGGUU